GCGCCUGUAGCUCAGUUUGGAUAGAGCAACGGACUUCUAAUCCGUAGGUCGUGGGUUCGAAUCCCUCCAGGCGUGCCA
RNAcentral lists this transfer RNA (78 nucleotides) under Candidatus Cloacimonadota bacterium. RNAcentral describes it as "Candidatus Cloacimonetes bacterium tRNA-Arg". It matches the Rfam family "tRNA". Rfam says of the family: Transfer RNA (tRNA) molecules are approximately 80 nucleotides in length. Their secondary structure includes four short double-helical elements and three loops (D, anti-codon, and T loops). The record is from RNAcentral. RNAcentral also lists the same sequence under 1 other name. Lineage: Bacteria; Pseudomonadati; Candidatus Cloacimonadota.